This 492-nucleotide ribosomal RNA is filed under the name uncultured bacterium. Its description in RNAcentral is "partial 16S ribosomal RNA". It matches the Rfam family "Bacterial small subunit ribosomal RNA", at positions 29 to 507 of the family's 1533-position model. The record is from RNAcentral.
AGUGAACGCUGGCGGUAGGCCUAACACAUGCAAGUCGAACGGCAGCACAGUAAGAGCUUGCUCUUACGGGUGGCGAGUGGCGGACGGGUGAGGAAUACAUCGGAAUCUACUUUUUCGUGGGGGAUAACGUAGGGAAACUUACGCUAAUACCGCAUACGACCUACGGGUGAAAGCAGGGGAUCUUCGGACCUUGCGCGAUUGAAUGAGCCGAUGUCGGAUUAGCUAGUUGGCGGGGUAAAGGCCCACCAAGGCGACGAUCCGUAGCUGGUCUGAGAGGAUGAUCGGCCACACUGGAACUGAGACACGGUCCAGACUCCUACGGGAGGCAGCAGUGGGGAAUAUUGGACAAUGGGCGAAAGCCUGAUCCAGCCAUACCGCGUGGGUGAAGAAGGCCUUCGGGUUGUAAAGCCCUUUUGUUGGGGAAGAAAAGCAGCAGGUUAAUACCCCGCUGUUCUGACGGUACCCAAAGAAUAAGCACCGGCUAACUUCGUG